AGGACGAACGCUGGCGGCGUGCUUAACACAUGCAAGUCGAGCGGUAAGGCCUUUCGGGGUACACGAGCGGCGAACGGGUGAGUAACACGUGGGUGAUCUGCCCUGCACUUCGGGAUAAGCCUGGGAAACUGGGUCUAAUACCGGAUAUGACCUCCUAUCGCAUGGUGGGUGGUGGAAAGAUUUAUCGGUGCAGGAUGGGCCCGCGGCCUAUCAGCUUGUUGGUGGGGUAAUGGCCUACCAAGGCGACGACGGGUAGCCGACCUGAGAGGGUGACCGGCCACGACUGGGACUGAGACACGGCCCAGACUCCUACGGGAGGCAGCAGUGGGGAAUAUUGCACAAUGGGCGAAAGCCUGAUGCAGCGACGCCGCGUGAGGAUGGACGGCCUCGGGUUAGUAACCUCUUUCAGCAGGACGAAGCGACAAGUGACGGUACCUGCAGAAGAAGCAACCGGCUAACACGUGCCAGCAGCCGC
This 475-nucleotide ribosomal RNA is filed under the name uncultured soil bacterium. RNAcentral describes it as "bacterial SSU rRNA". It matches the Rfam family "Bacterial small subunit ribosomal RNA", at positions 26 to 518 of the family's 1533-position model. The record is from RNAcentral.